RNAcentral lists this transfer RNA (68 nucleotides) under Homo sapiens (human). RNAcentral describes it as "tRNA-pseudo Likely pseudogene". The record is from RNAcentral. Lineage: Eukaryota; Metazoa; Chordata; Mammalia; Primates; Hominidae.
GAAAGAAAGAAAGAAAGAUACAAGAACAAUACACAGUUUUUGAAACUGACUUUUUCCCUGAGGAUGAA